UGGAUCCAGACUUUGAUCAUGGCUCAGGACGAACGCUGGCGGCGUGCUUAACACAUGCAAGUCGAACGAGAAGAGAUGAGAAGCUUGCUUCUUAUCGAUUCGAGUGGCAAACGGGUGAGUAACGCGUAAGCAACCUGCCCUCUAGAUGGGGACAACAGCUGGAAACGGCUGCUAAUACCGAAUACGUUCUUUCUGUCGCAUGGCAGAGGGAAGAAAGGGAGGCUCUUCGGAGCUUUCGCUGGAGGAGGGGCUUGCGUCUGAUUAGCUAGUUGGAGGGGUAACGGCCCACCAAGGCGACGAUCAGUAGCCGGUCUGAGAGGAUGAACGGCCACAUUGGGACUGAGACCGGCCCAGACUCCUACGGGAGGCAGCAGUGGGGAAUCUUCCGCAAUGGACGAAAGUCUGACGGAGCAACGCCGCGUGAACGAUGACGGCCUUCGGGUUGUAAAGUUCUGUUAUACGGGACGAAUGGUACGACGGUCAAUACCCGUCGUAAGUGACGGUACCGUAAGAGAAAGCCACGGCUAACUACGUGCCAGCAGCCGCGGUAAUACGUAGGUGGCAAGCGUUGUCCGGAAUUAUUGGGCGUAAAGGGCGCGCAGGCGGCGUCGUAAGUCGGUCUUAAAAGUGCGGGGCUUAACCCCGUGAGGGGACCGAAACUGCGAUGCUAGAGUAUCGGAGAGGAAAGCGGAAUUCCUAGUGUAGCGGUGAAAUGCGUAGAUAUUAGGAGGAACACCAGUGGCGAAAGCGGCUUUCUGGACGACAACUGACGCUGAGGCGCGAAAGCCAGGGGAGCAAACGGGAUUAGAUACCCCGGUAGUCCUGGCCGUAAACGAUGGAUACUAGGUGUAGGAGGUAUCGACCCCUUCUGUGCCGGAGUUAACGCAAUAAGUACCCCGCCUGGGGAGUACGGCCGCAAGGCUGCAACUCAAAGGAAUUGACGGA
RNAcentral lists this ribosomal RNA (945 nucleotides) under uncultured bacterium. RNAcentral's name for it is "bacterial SSU rRNA". It matches the Rfam family "Bacterial small subunit ribosomal RNA", at positions 1 to 917 of the family's 1533-position model. The record is from RNAcentral.